UAUGGACAUGAGGAAUCAUGGAGUAAAGCUUGCCAUAAGAAGUCAGCAGAAGCCGUAGUAGUGACCUUAGGGUCAUGAAGGGC
This 83-nucleotide non-coding RNA is filed under the name Trichococcus pasteurii. The record is from RNAcentral. Lineage: Bacteria; Bacillati; Bacillota; Bacilli; Lactobacillales; Carnobacteriaceae.